GGUGGUGGCUCAACGGUAGAGCACUCGCCUAGCACAUGUGAGGCCCUAGGUUCAAUCCUCAGCACCA
Molecule: transfer RNA, 67 nt
Filed under: Marmota monax (woodchuck)
Lineage: Eukaryota; Metazoa; Chordata; Mammalia; Rodentia; Sciuridae
Description: tRNA.Ala
Source: RNAcentral